Non-coding RNA from Homo sapiens (human), 148 nucleotides. It matches the Rfam family "Metazoan signal recognition particle RNA". From Rfam's summary of the family: The signal recognition particle (SRP) is a universally conserved ribonucleoprotein. It is involved in the co-translational targeting of proteins to membranes. The eukaryotic SRP consists of a 300-nucleotide 7S RNA and six proteins: SRPs 72, 68, 54, 19, 14, and 9. Lineage: Eukaryota; Metazoa; Chordata; Mammalia; Primates; Hominidae. The record is from Rfam.
GCUGAGUGUGGUGGCGCACACCUGUAGUCCCAGCUACUCAGGAGGCAGAGGCAGGAGGAUCACUUGAGCUCAGGAGGUCAAGGCUGCAGUUAGCUAUGAUCACACGACUGCACUCCAGCCUGGGUGACACAGUGACAUCUUGCAUCUU